RNAcentral lists this ribosomal RNA (328 nucleotides) under uncultured Lachnospiraceae bacterium. RNAcentral describes it as "bacterial SSU rRNA". It matches the Rfam family "Bacterial small subunit ribosomal RNA", at positions 28 to 339 of the family's 1533-position model. The record is from RNAcentral. Lineage: Bacteria; Bacillati; Bacillota; Clostridia; Lachnospirales; Lachnospiraceae.
GAUGAACGCUGGCGGCGUGCCUAACACAUGCAAGUCGAACGGGAACUUUGGAAUGAAGGUUCGCUGGAUUUCCAAAUAUUCUAGUGGCGGACGGGUGAGUAACGCGUGGGUAACCUGGCCUUAAGAGGAGAAUAACAGUGAGAAAUCACUGCUAAUACACCAUAUGCUUACAGUAUCGCAUGAUACGGUGAGGAAAGGAUUUAUCGCUUAGGGAUGGACCCGCGUUUGAUUAGCCAGUUGGCAGGGUAACGGCCUACCAAAGCAACGAUCAAUAGCCGGCCUGAGAGGGUGAACGGCCACAUUGGAACUGAGACACGGUCCAAACUCC